This 4463-nucleotide long non-coding RNA is filed under the name Brassica napus (rape). RNAcentral's name for it is "long non-coding RNA (BNAP_LNC016639)". The record is from RNAcentral. Lineage: Eukaryota; Viridiplantae; Streptophyta; Magnoliopsida; Brassicales; Brassicaceae.
UUGAAAUCUUGCCUCUACAUCAAGACGUUGAACAAGAACCAAUGUUGAGUAAUAAUAAGAGGAAAGCAAUGGAAGAAGUGAUAUCUACUGAUCGAUCACGUCCUAAAUACAAUGAUAUCACAACCUUGGUUUGACCCUUUCUCUCAUUCGGUGUCCUGCCGAAGUUUCUAUAACAAAAGACUUUGCUUCAGAGUUUUUUUCCUUAGGUUUGUUGUAGGAAUGCUUCUUCUGGUGAAUACAGGGCUAGCAUAGAGAAUGAAGAGGAGAGAUGUAUGUAGUCUGUAGAUAUUGAUGGUAAUGGACCUAUCAUUAUGAAAAAUCAGUAAAUUCCAAGUUAAGUUUAUUUUUCUUAGUUUGCUGGUAUCAAAACAAACUCAAGAGUAAAUAAAUUUUACUUUCUUAUUUUUCCAUGUUUUGUAUGAGUCUAUGAUUUGUUUCCAGGAAAAAUAAAACGGUCCCAAAACAAAACACUUGAGUAAGAUAUAUGAGACUUAUGAAGCUUUUGUCUAGUUUAUGUAAGGCCUUUAUAGGCUUGAAUAGUACUCUUGUCCGGAAUCACACCAGGUGCUGAUUGGGCGGUUAGUCCAGAUCACGAUUUACCGGGUAUUACUAGGGGUCUAGAAAGUAUUUUCUCCUCAUCAGCCAGCCUUAUACUUUCUCACCGGCUGAAGAUCUUAACUACAACGAUCACUCCACUCCAAAAUCCAUGAUUCAUAUCAUAUCAAAUGUAUUCUUACCCUUACACACACUUUGAGUGCUUAAUCAUACCAUUCAUCACUACUAAACAUUUCUAUGAGUUGUGCUUUCUUGUCGUAAAGACUAUGUUAAGUUAAAAAAAAAUAACUUUGUAAAUGCUCUCAUCAUGGACUUUUUUAUGAUAAGUAUAUACAAAGAUAGUAAACGCCUUUGCUUGAUUGAUAAUUUAUUCUAAGAAAAUUCUACUACGAGAUUCCAACCAUAAAAUAGAAAGCUGUGUAGAAAAAUGAUUUGAACCAUAAAGAUAUUAAACUACAACAUAUUUUCUUGAAAAAAUGACCUCUAAUAUAGAUUUAAGGUCCCAAAGGAAAGGGAUCAAGCUUGAUGAAUAUUUUUUUUUUUGAAAACUUGAAAAAUUAUUGAACUAUUCCGUUUGUUUGCAUGUAAGAAUAGAUAAGUGUAUUCCCAUUGUUCAAAGUUCAAAUAUUGGAAAUAAGGUCCUAGCUUUAUUUUAAUUAAUAAAUUAUGCUUGAAUGUAAGAAACUAAACUGUUUGUAAUUUGACAACUGUUAUUAGGGGCUCUAAGAAUAUCUCAUAAAACAUUAAAUGUAUUUUUCCUUAUUACUCUUUUAAUUUCAAUUUAGAUACUUAACGAGUGUAUAUAGAUUGAAUUGCUCUAAGCUGUGUAUAUGGGCAUAAGAAUCUAUCAGUGCCAAGUGUCAAAAUACAAUCAUGGCCGUUGAUUAUGUAUUUUCAGAUACUUAUUAAAACCGAAAAAGAUAAAAAGGUUUAAAAAAAAAAAAAUAUUCUGUGGGACCCAUUAAAUCUGAUUCAAGGACCCACAUUUAAAUGGCUAUAGGAUUUAUGUUUAUCUAUUCUUCUUCACACAGUUUCUCAUAUUUCACAGAAAUGACUUCUUUUUCCUGAGCUGCACUAAGGUUUCUCUAGAAAACUUUCAAGGUAAUUUUUCUAGCAAACUCAUCAUCUUCAUCCUUUUCAACAACUUCACAAAUUACUAAAACUCAGAUUCUUCCUUGUUAAUUUUAAUUUAAUUGAUAACGAAAAAAAAUUAAUUUAAUUCUGUUUUUCUACUCUCUGUAAAAGACGACGUUCAUAAUAUUCCCUUUUCCUUACGUACUCUCUGAAUCUUUAAUCCACAUGAAAAAAAUCUUUAUCAAUUCAAAGAGAGAAAGAGAUCAAAUCUUUUUUUUUUGUCAAAGUUAUGUAAGAAUCAAGAAUCUCGUCAAACGGAAUCUCUAUCCAGCUGCUGUGACGUUUCAGACGUCGCAUACUAUGUAAUGAUCAUAAACCCUCGUGAAUCCAGUUUGACCUACUCUGUUUUUCAUCUCUCUGUUAUUGCUCUGUUUCUAGGUGAGGAACAAGGUCGAACUCUGUAUUCAAAAAACUACCGCCAAGUAUCUUGAGAAGACUUACCAAAGCUGAUUAAUUUUCUUGAUUCCAUAUAAAGUUUUUUUUGUUGGGCUUAGUUUCUUACCUGUGCUCUCAUUGAUCACUACAUGAAAUUAGUAAAUGUCUCUUAUUUUUCUGGUAUAUAUUUUUUUAAACUAUAAUCUACUUCUUUAUUUUUCUAAAAUGGAGAAAGAAAUAUACGACUGUAAAAUUAUUACUAUUGUUUUUUUACUUCUCUUAUUUAUCUUUUCAUAGUUACCACAUAUACAAUUAAAAAAGUUACAGACAAUCUAGCAAUAAUUUUUUUUACAGAUACAACGUAAAAUCAUCAAUUCUAUAUAAUAAACGUAGCAGCAGUGAUACCAUCUGAUGAUGACAUUAAAAGGAUAUUGUUUUCCUUGCCGAGAUGUAAGGCCCCUGGCCCAGAUGGUUUUACAGUCGAGUUUUUCACCUCAGCUUGGGAUUUAAUGGGGCCAGAUCUUGUUAAAGCUGUCAAGGAUUUCUUCAUCAGCCUUAUCCUCCCUCGCCAGACCAAUGCUACUGUCCUUUCGCUUAUUCCAAAGUCACCGGGUGUUUCUUCACUGUCAUACUUUAGACCUAUUUCUCUCUGUAAUACGGUCUAUAAAGUUAUAUAAAAAAUUUUGGAUUCCCGCUUAAAGGAGAUAACAGUACAAGCAGUUCAAAGAAAUCAAGCAGGUUUUGUACAAGACAGAUUGUUAAGUGAAAAUGUUCUACUUGCUUCCGAGUUAGUGGUUGAUUUCCACAAGCAAGGUAGGACUAGGCGAGAUUGUCUUCAGGUGGAUAUUACGAAGGCUUUUGAUAGCAUCGAGUGGAGCUUCAUUCUCAACAUCCUUAGUGCCUUUGACCUGCCAGCGAUGUUUAUUGAUUGGAUAAAACUGUGCAUCACGUCACCCUAUUAUUCAGUAGCUUUGAAUGGUGAGCUGGGGGGUUUUUCCCUGGAAAGAAAGGAUUGAGGCAAGGAGAUUCAAUAUCCUCAUCCCUCUUUGUUUUGGCAAUGGACAUUCUCUCAAAAGAUUUGGAUAAUGCAGCCACAAAUGGUGUAUUUACUCCUCAUCCUCAAUGUCAAGAUCCUUUAAUCACUCAUUUGAGCUUUGCUGAUGACUUGUUGAUCUUCUUCGAUGGCACGGAUGAUUCGCUACGGGAAAUUUUACAGGUCAUGAGGGACUUUCAGUCUAAAUCAGGACUUGCUCUAAACAUUAGGAAGACUUGUGUUUUUGUAGAUGGAGAUGAGUCUGCGUCUACUACUCUAGCAUCAGAUUUUGGGUUGGUUCGUGGCAGUCUACCAGUUCGUUAUCUGGGUCUCCCACUAUCAGAUUCUAAGAAAGUUUUUUUUGUUUCUGUUUUGCAGUAACUACAGUUGAUUCAGGGUCUAAGGCUCUUGAGUUUCUGGGUUUGAGAGAAAGCAAUGAGAGCAACGACCCAAAUGCACCCUCUUCAUCACCUGUAACACAUCAGGUUUAGUUAUUUAUUUAUUUAUUCACUAUUCAAUUGAGUUUUUAAUCUACACAAUUCAUAAUAUUGAAGUUUGUUGGUAGCGUUGUGCAGGAAAUUGAAAUAAAUCUUAUAAUUACAGAUUACUGCAUGCCUGGCAUGACUGGUUAUGAUUUGCUCAAGAGAGUUAAGGUAUUAUCUUCUUGCUUUUUUUUAUGGUAUUGUAUAAAACAGAAAAUUUUGAUUUCCUGAGAAAUUACAUUAAGUUAAUAUGAUUGUGUAGGAAUCAGCAGCAUUUAGAAGCAUUCCCGUAGUGAUAAUGUCAUCUGAGAACGUUCCUGCUAGAAUCUCCAGGUAAGCAUCUGUUUCUUAAUUUACAAUUAAAAUUUUGAAUCUUAUUUGUGAGUUGGCAUUAGUGUUACUUUAACUUUGGACCGAUAGAACCAUUAACAAUGUAGAUAAUGUCCUGAAAAUGUGAACAACAGAUGUCUGGAAGAAGGAGCUGAGGAGUUCUUCUUGAAGCCAGUAAAGUUGGCUGAUGUUACCAAGUUGAAACCUCAUAUGAUGAAAACCAAACUGAAGAAAGAAAGCGAGAAACCAUCAAAAGAAGAUAAUGCAGUUUUGAAACAUGAGAUAAGAAAAGAUGAAGAACCAUCCGUGAUUGAAAUCUUGCCUCUACAUCAAGACGUUGAACAAGAACCAAUGUUGAGUAAUAAUAAGAGGAAAGCAAUGGAAGAAGUGAUAUCUACUGAUCGAUCACGUCCUAAAUACAAUGAUAUCACAACCUUGGUUUGACCCUUUCUCUCAUUCGGUGUCCUGCCGAAGUUUCUAUAACAAAAGACUUUGCUUCAGAGUUUUUUUCCUUAGGUUUGUUGUAGGAAUGCUUCUUCUGGUGAAUACAGGGC